UACGUAGGGUGCGAGCGUUUUCCGGAAUUAUUGGGCGUAAAGAGCUCGUAGGCGGUGUGUCGCGUCGGCCGUGAAAACCUGCAGCUUAACUGUGGGCUUGCGGUCGAUACGGGCAUCACUGGAGUUCGGCAGGGGAGACUGGAAUUCCUGGUGUAGCGGUGAAAUGCGCAGAUAUCAGGAGGAACACCGGUGGCGAAGGCGGGUCUCUGGGCCGAUACUGACGCUGAGGAGCGAAAGCGUGGGGAGCGAACAGG
This 254-nucleotide ribosomal RNA is filed under the name uncultured bacterium. RNAcentral's name for it is "partial 16S ribosomal RNA". It matches the Rfam family "Bacterial small subunit ribosomal RNA", at positions 524 to 776 of the family's 1533-position model. The record is from RNAcentral.